UUCUUUACACAAACUGUCUCAUUUGAUCCUCUCUGCCUUGCCACGAGGCAGUUACUAGCAACAUCUCCAUUAGUUUUACAGAUGAGGAAGCUGAGGCAUAAGGAGGUGAAGCAGCAAAACCACACCAUCAGUAAAGGAAAGACCCGUCAUUAGCAACCAGAUAGUCUGGCUUCGAAGUCCAUGCUAUUAACUGCUGAGCUGCAGGUGACAAAAGUUCUAUCUCCAGUACACUCUGACAGAGUCUGAGUUGGUGCCAAGAUUGAUGUGCAUGAGACUGAAAGACCCUCUUAGUCCCCAAAUACCUCCUCGCAACUUGUCUCAGUCUCUGAAAUUUCUCCCAUGAGUCCUUCUUUUUUGCAAGGGAAGUUUUGGAGAAGCAAAGGUUUUUCCUGCAUGGUCUGCUUAGUCCCAGCAAGAAAAGAAGAUAGUUGGUGCCACUUAGAGUUGGAUUUAGAUCCUGAGCCAAACAGUAUUGACUGUGUGAGUUGCACAAAUGACAACCUCUCAUCUUCUAUUUCUGCAUGGACAAAGUGGGGUUAAUC
RNAcentral lists this long non-coding RNA (542 nucleotides) under Rhinopithecus bieti (black snub-nosed monkey). RNAcentral describes it as "lncRNA (ENSRBIG00000046058.1)". The record is from RNAcentral. Lineage: Eukaryota; Metazoa; Chordata; Mammalia; Primates; Cercopithecidae.